This 1531-nucleotide ribosomal RNA is filed under the name Escherichia coli. RNAcentral describes it as "bacterial SSU rRNA". It matches the Rfam family "Bacterial small subunit ribosomal RNA". Lineage: Bacteria; Pseudomonadati; Pseudomonadota; Gammaproteobacteria; Enterobacterales; Enterobacteriaceae. The record is from RNAcentral. RNAcentral also lists the same sequence under 1 other name.
AAAUUGAAGAGUUUGAUCAUGGCUCAGAUUGAACGCUGGCGGCAGGCCUAACACAUGCAAGUCGAACGGUAACAGGAAGCAGCUUGCUGCUUCGCUGACGAGUGGCGGACGGGUGAGUAAUGUCUGGGAAACUGCCUGAUGGAGGGGGAUAACUACUGGAAACGGUAGCUAAUACCGCAUAAUGUCGCAAGACCAAAGAGGGGGACCUUCGGGCCUCUUGCCAUCGGAUGUGCCCAGAUGGGAUUAGCUUGUUGGUGGGGUAACGGCUCACCAAGGCGACGAUCCCUAGCUGGUCUGAGAGGAUGACCAGCCACACUGGAACUGAGACACGGUCCAGACUCCUACGGGAGGCAGCAGUGGGGAAUAUUGCACAAUGGGCGCAAGCCUGAUGCAGCCAUGCCGCGUGUAUGAAGAAGGCCUUCGGGUUGUAAAGUACUUUCAGCGGGGAGGAAGGGAGUAAAGUUAAUACCUUUGCUCAUUGACGUUACCCGCAGAAGAAGCACCGGCUAACUCCGUGCCAGCAGCCGCGGUAAUACGGAGGGUGCAAGCGUUAAUCGGAAUUACUGGGCGUAAAGCGCACGCAGGCGGUUUGUUAAGUCAGAUGUGAAAUCCCCGGGCUCAACCUGGGAACUGCAUCUGAUACUGGCAAGCUUGAGUCUCGUAGAGGGGGGUAGAAUUCCAGGUGUAGCGGUGAAAUGCGUAGAGAUCUGGAGGAAUACCGGUGGCGAAGGCGGCCCCCUGGACGAAGACUGACGCUCAGGUGCGAAAGCGUGGGGAGCAAACAGGAUUAGAUACCCUGGUAGUCCACGCCGUAAACGAUGUCGACUUGGAGGUUGUGCCCUUGAGGCGUGGCUUCCGGAGCUAACGCGUUAAGUCGACCGCCUGGGGAGUACGGCCGCAAGGUUAAAACUCAAAUGAAUUGACGGGGGCCCGCACAAGCGGUGGAGCAUGUGGUUUAAUUCGAUGCAACGCGAAGAACCUUACCUGGUCUUGACAUCCACGGAAGUUUUCAGAGAUGAGAAUGUGCCUUCGGGAACCGUGAGACAGGUGCUGCAUGGCUGUCGUCAGCUCGUGUUGUGAAAUGUUGGGUUAAGUCCCGCAACGAGCGCAACCCUUAUCCUUUGUUGCCAGCGGUCCGGCCGGGAACUCAAAGGAGACUGCCAGUGAUAAACUGGAGGAAGGUGGGGAUGACGUCAAGUCAUCAUGGCCCUUACGACCAGGGCUACACACGUGCUACAAUGGCGCAUACAAAGAGAAGCGACCUCGCGAGAGCAAGCGGACCUCAUAAAGUGCGUCGUAGUCCGGAUUGGAGUCUGCAACUCGACUCCAUGAAGUCGGAAUCGCUAGUAAUCGUGGAUCAGAAUGCCACGGUGAAUACGUUCCCGGGCCUUGUACACACCGCCCGUCACACCAUGGGAGUGGGUUGCAAAAGAAGUAGGUAGCUUAACCUUCGGGAGGGCGCUUACCACUUUGUGAUUCAUGACUGGGGUGAAGUCGUAACAAGGUAACCGUAGGGGAACCUGCGGUUGGA